GGAUGCAUGCGUGAGUUGGACGGUUUCGUUGGUUGUGUGGCAACAUCAGCAUCAACAACAUCAACGUCAACAACAAGAACCAGGACGGACGGACGGAGGCCGGCAUCGAGAUGAAGGUCCCCGGCCUUGGCGCACUGAUCUGGGCCGCUCUGGUCAGCCACAAGGUGUCCGCUGAGUACGGCAUGGCCCACUUCAGCGACAAGGGCGAAAGCAAAGGGAAGGACUACUGCAUCUUCUUUAAUUCCCAGUGGGCCCGUCUACCUCAGGACCUCCACAAAGCGUCACGUCUGCAGAUCUACGACCUGACACCAUCGGUGCUGUGCUCGCCGGUUGACGUCCCCGAGGGGGGCUUCCCCAACCGCAUUCCCAUGGUGAUGAGGGGGAACUGCACCUUCUACGAGAAGGUCCGUCUGGCUCAGAUGAACGGCGCCAAAGGCCUUCUCAUCGUCAGCAAGGACAGACUGACCCCGCCAGCGGGCAACAAGACUGAGUACGAGGAGAUCGACAUCCCCGUGGCACUGCUCAGCUACUCUGACAUGCUGGACAUAAGCAAGACAUUCAACCAGGGAAGACUGGUCGCCAUGUAUGCCCCUAACGAGCCAGUGCUGGACUACAACAUGGUGAUCAUCUUCUUGAUGGCGGUGGGGACAGUCGCCAUGGGAGGGCACUGGGCGGGCAGCAAGGAUCGGAAGAAGCGCUACAUGAAGUACAAAAGAGACGACGGGGCGGACAAGCAGGACGAGGAGACGGUGGACGUCACUCCCAUCAUGAUCUGCAUGUUCGUGGUGAUGUGCUGCAGCAUGCUGGUGCUGCUCUACUUCUUCUACGACAGCCUGGCCAUUUGGGUCAUAGGCAUCUUCUGCGUGGCGUCUUCCAUGGGCCUCUACAGCUGCUUGUGGCCUUUUGUGCGCCGCCUUCCGUUCUGCAAGUGCAGGAUUCCGGAGAACAAUCUUCCCUACUUGCACAAGAGGCCGCAGGUGCGUGCACUGGUGCUGUCGGCCCUCUGCGUCGGCGUCAGCAUCACCUGGAUGGUGUUUCGCAACGAGGACCAGUGGGCGUGGGUGCUGCAGGACGGCCUGGGCAUCGCCUUCUGCCUCUACAUGCUCAAGACUGUCAGGCUGCCCACUUUUAAGGCUUGCACUUUACUGCUGGCGGUCCUUUUCGUCUACGAUGUCUUUUUCGUGUUUAUUACACCCUUCUUCACCAAGAGUGGCGAAAGCAUCAUGGUGGAGGUGGCGGCUGGCCCCUCUGACUCGGCCAUGCAUGAAAAGCUUCCGAUGGUGCUCAAAGUCCCACGCUUGAACUCCUCCCCCCUCGCCUUGUGCGACCGUCCCUUCUCCCUGCUGGGCUUCGGCGACGUCCUGGUGCCAGGCCUGCUGGUGGCGUACUGCAACCGCUUUGACAUUUUGACGCACUCCUCCAGAAUCUACUUUGUGGCCUGCACCAUCGCGUACGGCGUGGGCCUGCUGAUCACCUUUGUGGCGCUGGCCGUGAUGCAGAUGGGCCAGCCCGCCUUGCUGUACCUGGUGCCUUGCACUCUACUCACUAGCCUAGUGGUGGCGCUGUGGCGCAGGGAGCUGCCUCAGUUCUGGACGGGAAGUGGAUUUGUGGUGAAUACCAGUUUGAUAUGACCCGUCUACUGCGCAGCCACAGAAAGACACCAAGUGACACAAAAGAGAAAAAUAGUUUUGACUAAAAUAGACCGCCCAUAGCUCUCGCCCCCAUCAAGUGUACGCAAACGGCGGAGCCACCGCCCGAUGGCUCUAAGGCGGAGACCCCGGCCGCCAAAGCGCACAAUCAGAACGAAGACCCGCCCGCCGGUCUGCCUCAGGAGACGCCCCUCGCUGAAAAAGAGAACAUUUUGAACUGAGAGGACUUCCAAGUUCUGCAG
This is an RNA transcript of Entelurus aequoreus (snake pipefish), 1891 nucleotides long. It is a transcript of the gene named signal peptide peptidase-like 2, with no coding region annotated. The transcript has 15 exons. The record is from RefSeq and is a predicted model, not a curated record. Lineage: Eukaryota; Metazoa; Chordata; Actinopteri; Syngnathiformes; Syngnathidae.